GCUAACUCUGUGCCAGCAGCCGCGGUAAUACAGAGGUCUCAAGCGUUGUUCGGAAUCACUGGGCGUAAAGGGUGCGUAGGUGGCGUGGCAAGUCAGAUGUGAAAGCCCGGAGCUCAACUUCGGAACUGCAUCCGAUACUGCCAUGCUAGAGCACUGAAGAGGUGACCGGAAUUCUCGGUGUAGCAGUGAAAUGCGUAGAUAUCGAGAGGAACACCAAAGGCGAAGGCAGGUCACUGGGCAGUUGCUGACACUGAGGCACGAAGGCCAGGGUAGCGAACGGGAUUAGAUACCCUAGUAGUC
This 300-nucleotide ribosomal RNA is filed under the name uncultured Prosthecobacter sp. RNAcentral describes it as "bacterial SSU rRNA". It matches the Rfam family "Bacterial small subunit ribosomal RNA", at positions 496 to 795 of the family's 1533-position model. Lineage: Bacteria; Pseudomonadati; Verrucomicrobiota; Verrucomicrobiia; Verrucomicrobiales; Verrucomicrobiaceae. The record is from RNAcentral.